AAUAUUGCGCAAUGGUCGAAAGACUGACGCAGCGACGCCGCGUGGAGGAUGAAGCCCUUCGGGGUGUAAACUCCUGUUGCUCGGGACGAAUGCCCCUUUCGAGGGGAUUGACGGUACCGAGUGAGGAAGCCCCGGCUAACUUCGUGCCAGCAGCCGCGGUAAUACGAAGGGGGCUAGCGUUGUUCGGAAUUACUGGGCGUAAAGGGCGCGUAGGCGGUGCUUCAAGUCAGGCGUGAAAGCCCCGGGCUCAACCUGGGAACCGCGCUUGAGACUGGAGGACUAGAGUUCGGGAGAGGAUGGUGGAAUUCCCAGUGUAGAGGUGAAAUUCGUAGAUAUUGGGAAGAACACCGAUGGCGAAGGCAGCCAUCUGGACCGACACUGACGCUGAGGCGCGAAAGCGUGGGGAGCAAAC
RNAcentral lists this ribosomal RNA (412 nucleotides) under uncultured bacterium. RNAcentral's name for it is "bacterial SSU rRNA". It matches the Rfam family "Bacterial small subunit ribosomal RNA", at positions 360 to 773 of the family's 1533-position model. The record is from RNAcentral.